GACAUUUGGUAGAGACUGUUGAAGCCACCUGGUCCCAGCAGACCCUUGAAGGCAGCCACAUUCGCUGGUGCUGGGGCAAGGUGGUUGAGGGUGAAGCCUGGUGCCAGAUGUGU
This 113-nucleotide ribosomal RNA is filed under the name Panthera tigris altaica (Amur tiger). The record is from RNAcentral. Lineage: Eukaryota; Metazoa; Chordata; Mammalia; Carnivora; Felidae.